Molecule: transfer RNA, 78 nt
Filed under: Planctomycetota bacterium
Lineage: Bacteria; Pseudomonadati; Planctomycetota
Also listed under: 1 other name
Description: Planctomycetes bacterium (sediment metagenome) tRNA-Pro
Rfam family: tRNA
About the family: Transfer RNA (tRNA) molecules are approximately 80 nucleotides in length.
Source: RNAcentral
CGGGGUGUGGCGCAGUUUGGCUAGCGCGCGUGCCUUGGGAGCACGAGGUCACCGGUUCAAGUCCGGUCACCCCGACCA